GCUGCGAUGGCCGAGUGGUUAAGGCGUUGCACUCGAAAUCCAAUGGGAUAUUCCCGCGCAUGUUCGAAUCCUGUUCGCAGCG
Non-coding RNA from Ciona savignyi (Pacific transparent sea squirt), 82 nucleotides. NCBI's taxonomy places the organism in Eukaryota, Metazoa, Chordata, Ascidiacea, Phlebobranchia, Cionidae. The record is from Rfam.